AUUCUCACUCCAAAGGCGUCAAAAACCGAAGCAUGGUCAAGCGCCCCUAGCGUCACUUUUAUGACGCCAAAUGUGCCUCUUGGCGUCGAAUAUCGAAGCACUACGACCUUCAUUGCUUUCAGUGGGAAACUUUUGGCGUCAGAAUUCGACACGACGAGGACAUGAGAUGUUUAUCGCUAUGAAAUCACGUUCAAGAAGUCUCAUUCAGCACACAUCGCGAUACUUGCUAUCAGUUCCACAGUUUGGCUGAAAAGACGUAAAGGAAGCCCAGUGGUGUUUCUGGAGAGCUAUUCCUUCAGAAAUGGAGAAGACAGAAAGCUGCGGAGGCAGAUAUUUGCAGCAGUCUGAAAUAUCAAGCUCAACAGCUCACUCAAGAGCCAACCCUCACAAACCUUCCUAAAAACUAAAAGAGCUAUUACUGAGUCUCAGCGAAUCUUGCCAUGAUCAGCUCUUCCCAGAAGAGAAGGAAGACCAAGGAAAUGAUUUGCUCAGGAUGAGAAAUGAAGAUGGCCAUCUUGUGCUCAAACAAACAGAAGUCCUCUGAUGAUCUCAUCAGCCAUAUGAGGGGUUUUGAUCAAGUGAUGCUCUUGAAAGGACUGAAAGAAGAGGAUGUGGUAAAUUCUCUUCAGAGAAAAAGCUUCUCAAAAGGUCUAAAAGCAGCUUGAAGAAUGGUCUGGGAUCUUAGGACUGAGAGAUCCUCUGGCUGAGAGAAGCUACACCACAUCAGUGCUGGAUAUCAACCACAAACUGUUUCCAGACACGAGAGAAGAAGAACACGAUGGGGAGAUGAAACCAGUUUAGAUCUGAUGAUGGGAAUCAUUAUUUUCUGAAACCGUAUCACAUGUCUUAUAUGUAUCACAUGAUCUGUAUCACAGUUGACUGGAUGGGACUGUGUGACUUUUAAGGACAUUUCAUCACUCAUCUGUGAGAACUGAUUUAUAUAUGAGGUUAAUGUAUUUUUGAUGAUAAUUAUUUUCAUUGAAUCUUAUUUGUCUUGAUGCUACUUUAUCAACUUUAUAGUCUAUGCUUCAAUAAAAUGAAAAUGCUGAAUAUUGUGUUCUGAAGAUUCUUGGUAAAUACAUAAUUUUACUAGGUAGGCUCAUAUGUGUUUAUUUUAGACUUGGAAAAACGACAUAUUAAUUAUUGGGAUUAUUUUUUAUUUAAGACAUAAACAUUUUUGAUCGGAUUAAUAACAUCUGGGACAUCAGUACACCAGAAAGUAAUUUUUUUAUAUUUUAGUAACAAAUAUGCAAAUUUUUUGUGAAAUAAAGGGAGUUACGAGAUUAAUUAUUCUGCAUUACAAGAUGGUGCCAUGGGCUUUAUUGUUACAAACACUUGAGGGAUAACUGAGAAUGUAGCAGGAAUGAUCAACGUGGAUCUAGUAAUGCAUUAAAACCAAGAGCACACACAUUACUGAUGUCCAGCACCUGAGGAGCA
Carassius gibelio (silver crucian carp) is the source of this 1437-nucleotide long non-coding RNA. RefSeq lists it as uncharacterized. The record is from RefSeq and is a predicted model, not a curated record. Lineage: Eukaryota; Metazoa; Chordata; Actinopteri; Cypriniformes; Cyprinidae. The transcript is spliced from 6 exons.